This 253-nucleotide ribosomal RNA is filed under the name uncultured bacterium. RNAcentral describes it as "partial 16S ribosomal RNA". It matches the Rfam family "Bacterial small subunit ribosomal RNA", at positions 524 to 776 of the family's 1533-position model. The record is from RNAcentral.
UACGUAGGGCGCAAGCGUUGUUCGGAAUUACUGGGCGUAAAGCGCACGUAGGCGGAUCAGUCAGUCAGGGGUGAAAUCCCGGGGCUCAACCCCGGAACUGCCUUUGAUACUGCUGGUCUGGAGGAUGGGAGAGGCGAGUGGAAUUCCGAGUGUAGAGGUGAAAUUCGUAGAUAUUCGGAGGAACACCAGUGGCGAAGGCGGCUCGCUGGCCCAUUUCUGACGCUGAGGUGCGAAAGCGUGGGGAGCAAACAGG